GCAUUGAUAGUCGUAUUUGGUUUCCAGUUACUACAAAAUGUUUGGUUUCUCAAUAACAUUAAUAUUUUCCUAGAAUAUAGAAAAUACAGUCCUUGUAAUUUAACAUGUUACUCUUCUUUCUGAAAUAAGGUUUCACUGGGUGUUUAAGAAAUCUUUGAAAUUUAGUCAUCAACCUAACUUGUUAAUAGUAAGUUAUAUAAAGUGAAUAAUUUUUAGAUAUUAGCAGAGCAAUGAAAUCAUACUGUUCUAUUUUAUAUGAUCUUCCAGCAUUCUAUCUGUAAAUGGUGGCAGCAUAAGUAAAAAAUGCUGGCAUCAUUGACUUUGUUCUAUUUUAAUGUACCUAAUGCAGACUGGGACUUGGGGGUUUGCCUGGAGUAUGAGUGUAAAAGAAAACAGCUGUUAAAACCUGUGUUUUUAAAUUCUUGGAUUGAUCUCAGAGCAACUUACAAGCUUUUCUAUAGGAGAAAACCGAAAGGACUAAGUGGUGCCUUGCAGGAAGUAGGAAUAGAAUUCUCAGGACGAGAACAUUCUGGGUUGGACGAUUCUCGGAAUACCUCCCUUCUUGCUUGGAAAAUGAUCAGAGAUGGUUGUGUAAUGAAAAUUACAAGGUCGUUGAACAAGGGUCCCUUCCUCUUGCCUUCAUGGACCUGGAACAGUGAUCUGGCCUCAGGGGACCAGCAUGUUUUUCUUCAGCAAGAAUUUGGGUAUUUCUUUAAUUUCUUGUCUUUGGGAUUACUAUUCAGGACAACCAAUCUCUCAAGAAAGGGUCAAGUACC
RNAcentral lists this small RNA (776 nucleotides) under Pongo abelii (Sumatran orangutan). RNAcentral's name for it is "retained intron". Lineage: Eukaryota; Metazoa; Chordata; Mammalia; Primates; Hominidae. The record is from RNAcentral.